UACGUAGGGUGCGAGCGUUGUCCGGAAUUAUUGGGCGUAAAGGGCUCGUAGGCGGUUUGUCGCGUCGGGAGUGAAAACUCAGGGCUUAACCCUGAGCCUGCUUCCGAUACGGGCAGACUAGAGGUAUGCAGGGGAGAACGGAAUUCCUGGUGUAGCGGUGAAGUGCGCAGAUAUCAGGAGGAACACCGGUGGCGAAGGCGGUUCUCUGGGCAUUACUUGACGCUGAGGAUCGAAAGUGUGGGGAGCGAACAGG
Molecule: ribosomal RNA, 253 nt
Filed under: uncultured bacterium
Lineage: Bacteria
Description: partial 16S ribosomal RNA
Rfam family: Bacterial small subunit ribosomal RNA
Source: RNAcentral